CAGAAUUCUAACUAUUCAAUCAUUUCUGGUUAUUUUUUUGUCAGCUGUGCCAGUUUUGCCAUUCUGACCGAUUAAUUUUGAUUGCACAGGAAGCAUGUCUACUUAUGGCAGCUGCACUUGACCUAGAGCAAGGGAGAAAAGCUUCAACAACUGCUGAACAGUUACUGAAUCGUGCACUUAAGCAGACUCAGGAAUGCAAAGGCAUCUGGAAUCUCCUGAAACAAACAGGUGGGACCUUUAAGAAAUGUCAUGUGAUGUGCUCCACCAUGUUAUCAAACAAGAGGACCUGCAUCAGAUACAGCCCUUCAAUUUUAUAGUGGCCAGUUUCCAAAAUUGUGAGAAAUAAAUUCUUCUUCACUAUCCAGUCUAUGGUAUUCUGUUAUGGAAGUAGAAAAAAAUGACUAAGACACUGCUUUUGCCUACCUUUGAAUAUCCAAUGCCUACUAUACACACACACACACACACACACACACACACACACACACACACACACGCAGAGAUAAUGUCCUAGAGGGAUAGACAGAAAAAUUUACUUUUGCUACUUCUUGGGGCAGGAAUUAGUAACUUUGGGG
This 572-nucleotide long non-coding RNA is filed under the name Fukomys damarensis (Damara mole-rat). Its description in RNAcentral is "lncRNA (ENSFDAG00000029108.1)". Lineage: Eukaryota; Metazoa; Chordata; Mammalia; Rodentia; Bathyergidae. The record is from RNAcentral.